AUUGAACGCUGGCGGCAGGCCUAACACAUGCAAGUCGAACGGUAACAGGAAGCAGCUUGCUGCUUCGCUGACGAGUGGCGGACGGGUGAGUAAUGUCUGGGAAACUGCCUGAUGGAGGGGGAUAACUACUGGAAACGGUAGCUAAUACCGCAUAACGUCGCAAGACCAAAGAGGGGGACCUUAGGGCCUCUUGCCAUCGGAUGUGCCCAGAUGGGAUUAGCUAGUAGGUGGGGUAACGGCUCACCUAGGCGACGAUCCCUAGCUGGUCUGAGAGGAUGACCAGCCACACUGGAACUGAGACACGGUCCAGACUCCUACGGGAGGCAGCAGUGGGGAAUAUUGCACAAUGGGCGCAAGCCUGAUGCAGCAAUGACGCGUGUAUGAAGAAGGCCUUCGGGUUGUAAAGUACUUUCAGCGGGGAGGAAGGGAGUAAAGUUAAUACCUUUGAUCAUUGACGUUACCAGCAGAAGAAGCACCGGCUAACUCCGUG
RNAcentral lists this ribosomal RNA (490 nucleotides) under uncultured bacterium. RNAcentral's name for it is "partial 16S ribosomal RNA". It matches the Rfam family "Bacterial small subunit ribosomal RNA", at positions 30 to 507 of the family's 1533-position model. The record is from RNAcentral.